UUCGAUUAAGCCAUGCGAGUCGAGAGCUUUCGGAGCUCGGCAUACCGCUCAGUAACACGUGGGUAACCUGCCCUAUGCUGGGGAAUAACCUCGAGAAAUUGAGAACAAUGCCCCAUAGUCCACUACGCCUGGAACGGUGAGUGGAUCAAAGCUCCGGCGGCAUAGGAUGGGCCUGCGCCGUAUCAGGUUGUAGGGGGUGUAACGUACCCUCUAGCCAUCAACGCGUACGGGUGUUGGGAGACAUUGCCCGGAGAUGGAUUCUGAGACACGAAUCCAGACCCUACGGGGUGCAGCAGGCGCGAAAACUUGGCAAUGCGAGAAAUCGUGACCAGGGAACUCCAAGUGCAUCGGGUAAGACCGAUGCUUUUCUUGACUCUUCAAAGGUCUUGGAAUAAGGGGUGGGUAAGGACGGUGCCAGCCGCCGCGGUAAUACCGGCGCCUCAAGUGGUAGUCGCUUUUAUUGGGCCUAAAACGUCCGUAGCCGGUUUGGUACAUUCGUGGGUAAAUCAACCCGCUCAACGGGUUGAAUUCUGCGAGCACGGCCAGACUUGGGACCGGGAGAGGUGUGGGGUACUCUCUGGGUAGGGGUAAAAUCCUGUAAUCCAGAGAGGACCACCUGUUGCGAAGGCGCCACACUAGAACGGAUCCGACGGUCAGGGACGAAACCUAGGGGCACGAACCGGAUUAGAUACCCGGGUAGUCCUAGGUGUAAACGCUGUGGACUUGAUGUUGGGAGCGCUCCGAGCGCCCUCAGUGUCGUAGCGAAGGUGAUAAGUCACUGCCUGGGGAGUACGGUCGCAAGGCUGAAACUUAAAGGAAUUGGCGGGGGAGCACUGCAACCUGAGGAUUGUGCG
RNAcentral lists this ribosomal RNA (854 nucleotides) under uncultured archaeon. RNAcentral describes it as "bacterial SSU rRNA". It matches the Rfam family "Archaeal small subunit ribosomal RNA", at positions 39 to 899 of the family's 1478-position model. The record is from RNAcentral.